UCUAACUUGUUUGACUUGUUGAGGAAGAGCUUGGCUGACAGCUGAACACUCACACAGACAGAAACACUGAGACUAAAGACUUCUGAAUCUACAGAAGUACAGAGCGAGAGAAACAUGGUGUGACUGAUCAUCAACGCCUGCAGGUUCGUGGCGAGGAAGAUCCGCGCUUCGGUGAAAGGAGAGGCACAGCCGGAGAAAACCAGCACCACAGCAUGUAGAGCGACCAAAGAAAGGGACGUCAGGAUGAGCUCUGAUCAUCCCGCCUUGAUUCAACCAGAAUCCUCUGUUGCUCGGCAGAGAGACGACUGCGGAUCCUGAAAGUAAACUGACAGCCGGAGGUUCACUGCGAGGAGGAAUACACACACACACACGGUAACACACAUGCACAUCUACAGCUCACAACCUUUACAGACUCCUCCAUUAUAAAUUAAUUUCCACUCAUAAUUUAUUAGAUUACUUACCUCAGUAGUAAAUGUUUCAUACUUCAGACAUCAGAACUUCCCCUCUGCAGAUUUUUUUCUGCAUUCACGCUCCAUCCCCAGUACCAUUAUCACACACACACACACACACCGCAUGUCCUCCUCCCAUCAUCCAGCUGUCAGGUUUCUCAUCCUUCCUGUGUGAAUUGCAAUGAUCAGUCUGAUCAGAAGAGAGAAUGAAGGUCUGAUCACCAAGUCCUCCUCAGAGGAAUCGAUCAGACUGGAUCAACAUGAAGACUCUGCUGAAGAAGCUGCACUCAUUCAUUCAUCUAAAUCAACCAGUCAAUCUUUAUUUGUAUAGUGCCAAUUCAAGAUUAUAGAUCUCCAGUAUGUCUGUUCAUAAACGGGUCAGUCUCUGUGAAACGCAUCAGUAAAGAACAUUUCUAAUGUGAGUCUGUGUGUCAUGAUUUUCUAUCUUUGCUCUUAGUCAGAUGAUCAAACUCAUCUCUGCCAAGUUUUCUGGGUCAGUAUUAAAACCUCUAAACUAGUGCAGCGGUGACAUUUAAUUAAGAUGUAUCAGGUAGAUAGAGUUGACCUGACUGCAGUCAGAUGAUCCUCAUGCUGCAUACAGGACUGGGAUGUUAGCUGACAGGAUAAAAUAAGAAUUAUAAUAACUUGCUUGUUUUCAUAGGUUCAUUGUACAUACGUUUCAUUCAUUGCACAUAGGUUCUCUAUUCUUAUUCCUGCACAGGUUAUACACAUUUUCUUGGCACAGGUCCAAUUUUUAAAUUGUAUGGGGUAAAUUUUGUUCUAUUUCAGGUUUCCUUAAGUCUUUGUUUGGGUUAAUAAAUAUGGGAGAGGGGACAGCGGUUGUGUUAGAUGGGACAAAUAUCUCAUGUCAUGUGUGUCUUGUGAGCUUCUACUGGAUGCUUGGAAUUUCCCUCAGAGUCAAUAAAGUAUCCAUGCAUCCCUCCCUCCAUCCAUCCAUCCAUCCAUCCAUCCAUCCAUCCCUCCCUCCCUCCAUCCAUCCAUCACUCCAUCCAUCCAUCUGCUGGAUGUCAACAUGUUUGGAAGGCUGCAAACCAAAAAGAUACAUACAAAAGAUGCACCUAAAAAUUCAGCCGGAUAUCCUCUUCAUGAACAGAUAAUGAUGAUUCCUGCCAUCAUACUUUUUUUCAUUUCACUCUUUAUGUUGUUAAGUCAGUGUUUGUAUCAGUAAAACCAGGUAACAACAAACAGAUACGAAUAUAUUAGCUUUUAUUAUUAAAUUAUGCAUCUUAACGAUAGUCCCCUAACAAAACUGCAGUUGUACAAAUAAUACAGAAGAAGAAUAAUUACAUGACAUGGUGCAAUUUUUGUACAUAUAGACAUUUGUGUAAAAACAAACGUAUUCCCUUUAUUCAAAUAAAUAAAAAACUUAUAGACAAGUAAAGUAAAGUUACCGCGUGCCUUUUACUUAAAGCAACAUUAUGUAGGAUUUGAGAGACACGGCGCCCCCUGCAGUAUGGGAGGGCACAUCACACCCUCAUGUAGACAUAAAAGCCAGUUUGAGAUUUAGACGGCAAAAUGGCAGGACUUCACCUCUCUGACAAACUUUUAGACUUGGCAGAUUAAUUAAUAUUGAAUGAGAGAACAUUGGAUUAAAACAGGGAAGAUUUAUUUUUAAUGUCAUAGGGGACUUUAAGUCUGUCAUUCAGGAAGCCGUGCUAACUCAAGUUGCAAAGUCCAUCUGAACAAUGGAUCAGAAUUAAAGAGGCUCCAAUCUGCCUUUAUCAAGUCACUGUUCCAUCAAACUGACUGUAAAACUGUUAUUUAACACUAACAGCUACAUAUUGUUGCUUUAAUCAGCCUGUGUAACUACAAACCGGGUAACUUCACGAUUAAUUAGUUGUCCUGGUUGGUUUCUCUUUGAACUGUUGCAAACAGUGCAGAGAAAACCACUUAGUGAAAUAAAAAAGGUUUCUAAUGAUCAUAAAUGGCUAAUGUGGUAAAGCUACUGUUAAAGUUUCCAUCUUUCUCCAUUUGUUUGGAUUGAUAGAUCACUGAUGAACAUCUGCAUUUGGAGGGUGAAAAUCAUAAAAAAAAAAAGUAAAGUAUAGAAAAACAAACUGAAGGAAAGAUUAGGCACUGGUACAGGAGGCAGUAUUGUAUCACCUAUCUACAGAAAACAGCAGUGAAUGAUCUCAGGCCUACACUUGACCUCCACACAUCAUAAAUAUAUUCUACUGAAAUGCAGAAAUAAUCAGCAUUUAAAGUCAGUAAGAAAAGGUUGCGCACAUUUUGGAGGUGCAACAGGCUCAGUUCUAUUUCCUUUCACCCAUACGCUGGAUGAAACUCACAGCGGCUCUAUUUCUGACAGAUUCCCACAUAGUUUACAGACAAAACCAGAAAGAUUGCAGUGCUUUCUUUACUGUCCACACAGAAGAAGACACACAAUCGGUGGAGCUGCUGCUUUCCGUUUGUGAGGAAACCAUCCACACUGUCAGCCCCACAAAGGAGAGCGUUGUGGAGGUGAAGCUCCGUCCUGAUGGGGGUCUCCAUGCUCUGAUGGUGCUCCUUCUCCUGCAUGCUGUCAUUAUUCUUCUGAACCUGCCUCCGGUACAGGAGACGGGUCACCACGGCCAGGAUACAAACAGUGAUGAACACCACUGCUGUCGCCACACCUGAGGAGUAGCAAACACGUACACAUUAAAGGUUGUGGGAUGUUAUGGAGUUUGCCAAUGUCCCACAGUUUGAUUGGACUACUGAGCCUCUGAUCGUGACCAACGAGCUGCCUCGAUUCUGCAGGGCCGCUUUCAGAGGAGCCACGUGAUUGAACUGGACCGAAGAUAG
This is a long non-coding RNA of Labrus mixtus (cuckoo wrasse), 3251 nucleotides long. RefSeq lists it as uncharacterized. The transcript is spliced from 5 exons. The record is from RefSeq and is a predicted model, not a curated record. Lineage: Eukaryota; Metazoa; Chordata; Actinopteri; Labriformes; Labridae.